RNAcentral lists this ribosomal RNA (491 nucleotides) under uncultured bacterium. RNAcentral's name for it is "partial 16S ribosomal RNA". It matches the Rfam family "Bacterial small subunit ribosomal RNA", at positions 29 to 507 of the family's 1533-position model. The record is from RNAcentral.
AGUGAACGCUGGCGGUAGGCCUAACACAUGCAAGUCGAACGGCAGCACAGUAAGAGCUUGCUCUUACGGGUGGCGAGUGGCGGACGGGUGAGGAAUACAUCGGAAUCUACUUUUUCGUGGGGGAUAACGUAGGGAAACUUACGCUAAUACCGCAUACGACCUACGGGUGAAAGCAGGGGAUCUUCGGACCUUGCGCGAUUGAAUGAGCCGAUGUCGGAUUAGCUAGUUGGCGGGGUAAAGGCCCACCAAGGCGACGAUCCGUAGCUGGUCUGAGAGGAUGGACCCCCCCUCGGAACUGGAACACCCGCCCAGGCACCUAGGGGAGGCACAGUGGGGGAUUUUUGGCAAAAGGGGGAAACCCUGACCCAGCCAACCCCGCGGGGUGAAGAAGCCCUGGGGGUUGGAAGACCCUUUUGUGGGGAAAAAAAGCCAGCGGGUUAAACCCCCGCUGUUCGGCCGGAACCCAAAAAAAAGCCCCCGCUAACUUCGGG